This 497-nucleotide ribosomal RNA is filed under the name uncultured bacterium. Its description in RNAcentral is "partial 16S ribosomal RNA". It matches the Rfam family "Bacterial small subunit ribosomal RNA", at positions 28 to 507 of the family's 1533-position model. The record is from RNAcentral.
GACGAACGCUGGCGGCGUGCCUAAUACAUGCAAGUCGAACGCUGAAGAGAGGAGCUUGCUCUUCUUGGAUGAGUUGCGAACGGGUGAGUAACGCGUAGGUAACCUGCCUGGUAGCGGGGGAUAACUAUUGGAAACGAUAGCUAAUACCGCAUAAAAUGGAUUAUCGCAUGAUAAUCCAUUGAAAGGUGCAAAUGCAUCACUACCAGAUGGACCUGCGUUGUAUUAGCUAGUUGGUGGGGUAACGGCUCACCAAGGCGACGAUACAUAGCCGACCUGAGAGGGUGAUCGGCCACACUGGGACUGAGACACGGCCCAGACUCCUACGGGAGGCAGCAGUAGGGAAUCUUCGGCAAUGGACGGAAGUCUGACCGAGCAACGCCGCGUGAGUGAAGAAGGUUUUCGGAUCGUAAAGCUCGGUUGUAAGAGAAGAACGAGUGUGAGAGUGGAAAGUUCACACUGUGACGGUAGCUUACCAGAAAGGGACGGCUAACUACGUG